AUUGAACGCUGGCGGCAUGCCUUACACAUGCAAGUCGAACGGCAGCACGGGAGCAAUCCUGGUGGCGAGUGGCGAACGGGUGAGUAAUAUAUCGGAACGUGCCCAGUAGUGGGGGAUAGCCCGGCGAAAGCCGGAUUAAUACCGCAUACGACCUGAGGGUGAAAGCGGGGGAUCGCAAGACCUCGCGCGAUUGGAGCGGCCGAUAUCAGAUUAGGUAGUUGGUGGGGUAAAGGCCCACCAAGCCAACGAUCUGUAGCUGGUCUGAGAGGACGACCAGCCACACUGGGACUGAGACACGGCCCAGACUCCUACGGGAGGCAGCAGUGGGGAAUUUUGGACAAUGGACGCAAGUCUGAUCCAGCCAUGCCGCGUGCGGGAAGAAGGC
RNAcentral lists this ribosomal RNA (385 nucleotides) under uncultured bacterium. Its description in RNAcentral is "bacterial SSU rRNA". It matches the Rfam family "Bacterial small subunit ribosomal RNA", at positions 29 to 415 of the family's 1533-position model. The record is from RNAcentral.